Molecule: long non-coding RNA, 1639 nt
Organism: Melitaea cinxia (Glanville fritillary)
Lineage: Eukaryota; Metazoa; Arthropoda; Insecta; Lepidoptera; Nymphalidae
Exons: 2
Source: RefSeq, a predicted model, not a curated record
GAAAUCGUGGAAAAGGAAGUACAUCAUAUUUAUCGGCAAAUAUUUGUAACGAAUUUAUUAAUUUAAUAGGACAGCAAGUUAUGAAAACCAUUGUCAAAGAACUUAAAUCAGCAAAGUACAAAACUAUUAGCGUAGAUUCUACGCCAGAUCUGUCUCACGUCGACCAACUGACUUUCAUAGUAAGAUACGUAAAAGACGGACAGCCUAUUGAGAGUUUUUUGCAAUUUUUGCUUAUGGAUGAACAUAAUGCGCAAUAUAUAGCAGAUAUAAUUUUGAACUUUUUUGAAAACCUUGAUAUUCCUAUAAAAGAUUGUCGCGGGCAGAGCUACUACAAUGCAUCAAAUAUGCCUGGAAAUGGGUGUUCAGGCUGUUGAAUGUGUUAUUGAAGCAGUAACAUUCUUUCAAUUUCUACAAAAAUUGUUCAAUUUUUUCUCGGCUUCGACAAAACGAUGGAAAAUUUUGACAGAGCAUUUAAGUAUUUGCAUAGAGUACUGAAGUUUCUUUCGGAAACGAAAUGGUCUGCACGCGCCAAUGCUCUUAAUGCUUUGCAAAAUGGUUAUUUAAAUAUUUCUGAAGCAUUGUCUUCAAUCGCAAGUGACAUCAAUGAACCAGGAGACACUAGAAAGGAAGCCCAAAGCCUAGCAAACAAUGGGAAAAUUUGAGACUGUUCUUCUAACGGAAAUAUGGAAUGAUCUUGUUAUAUAUAAAACAAGUCUAAGUUUACAGAAUACCAAUAUGACCAUGGACGUUGUAACGAAACUUUACGAAUCUCUGAUCAGUUAUGUCAAUUCCGCACGCAAUAAUUUUGAUCAGUAUGUGGCGUCACGAAGCGACUGCUAAAGAAAAAAUCCAUAUGUUGACUACAAAGAUACAUUUGAAAGAAAAAGAUCUCGCAGCACACACAUCACUUUUUUUCGAAGGAUCAUCAAAGGCUGCACAGUCAAGAGGCAAGGAAAUGUUUCGUGUAGAUACUUUCAUUCCCAUAAUUGACACAUUAAAUACACAACUAAAAAAAUGUUCGGCAGCAUACCAAGAAAUUGAUAGUUGAUUUAGUUGUCUAUGUCAGUUAACAACAAUCGAAUCUGAUGAGUUGACCAAAAAUGCAAAGAAUUUGCAAAAUUUUAUCAUGAAGACAUUAAUGUAGAUGUGCCCAAAACAGAAUGUAUUCAUUUAAGCCAAUAUUUAAAAAACAUAGCAAAGCAAUCAGCGGAUUUAAAUAUCUCAACCUUACAUAACCUAAAAAUUUCAAAUAAAUUGAAAGAAACUUUUCCAAACGUAGAAAUUGCUACAAGAAUAUUCCUUUGCCUAAUGGUUACCAAUUGUAGUGGAGAACGGUCAUUUUCGCACCUCAAGAGAAUAAAAAAUGAUUUGCGAACAACAAUGUUACAAGAACGACUGAGCAAUUUGUCAAUUAUGUGCAUAAAAAUUGAUAUCCUUCAAAAAAUUGACUUUAAGGAUAUAAUAUAAGAUUUUGCUCAACCGAAAUCCCGAAAGAAUCCGCUAUCGUAAUCGUAACAAAAAAAAAAACAACAGCGUUCUAAUAUCAUAAUUGACAUAUUAUAUCAUACUGUAUUUGAUAAUAAGAAUAAUAGCUGUAUUUGAUUACCUUUAAUAAAUGAUCAUACUUAGUAAAAAAAUA